Molecule: long non-coding RNA, 1985 nt
Filed under: Takifugu rubripes (torafugu)
Lineage: Eukaryota; Metazoa; Chordata; Actinopteri; Tetraodontiformes; Tetraodontidae
Description: lncRNA (ENSTRUG00000030209.1)
Source: RNAcentral
GACCAGUAUGACGGGAACCAGUUUGGCGGCCAUUUUGUAAAUGCCCUGAUGAAGGCCUGUAAGGGAGAAACAUGUUGGUAUGUUUUUAUGAUUCUGUAGCCCUCAUGAAAUAAAGACUUUUAUCAUUUGUCCCUCUGAGUGCCUCUGGUUUCCUCAAAGGCAGUUGGAUAUGUACAUUGAGGAGCACCGGAGAGACAGUAUCUUUUUUUUUUCUUUUAAUCAUUUAAAAAAAGAAAUUCAAAGCCUCUUCCGCAUUCCAUGCAAGUCUUUUUACCUAAAUAUCGCAUAUAGUUGGAGACUAUUAUGUUGACAUAUUGACCAGUUGAAUUAAUCUUCAGUAUCCCGCAGCAAAAACGACGGAUCAUUUUAAAAAGGCAGUAUCGUGGACAGCUCACACGGCUACUGGAGGACCUCGGUAUAUAAACGUCCGCCGUGCGUUUCCCCAGCCUCUCCGUUGCGGCCGUCGUUUCAGACUGUUGUGAGGAUGUGAUCAGCUCGUUUGGGCCAAAUUAAUGCUUAAAAUGGCACGACGGAAGGCUGUUCCGAGAUGACUGGAUGACCCGGUCCACUAGCUGUGGUGCCUUCAUGGCCACUAGCUGUGGUGCCUUCAUGGCCGCUGAGAUGGCCUGAUGUUUCACUCGCCGGGUCGCCUGCCGGAGCUGCUCCUGGUUGUUGGCCUGUGACUGGAGCUGCAGCUCUUCUGGUGGAUCACAGGCUCAGGGUAGAAGAACUGGGAGGAAAUGCUGGAGCAGGUGGUGAAACUCUGGAUGGUGAUCUGGUGGACGCAGGAUUUCAAUUCAAAUGGAUCAACUCACACCGAUCCCCUGUUGAAAAGCUCAUGAAUGAUUUUUAUGGCUUGUGACAGAUGUCUGAAAUCUUUAUUAAAGUGUGUCUGUUCAAAUGUGUGUGCUGCUUUUCUGCCACUUAAAGAAUUAAGUUAUAAACGGUAGACUGCUGUAAAAAAAAAAAAAAAAAAACAGGUGUAGCCUGUGAAUCAGGACGCUCGGUGGGGAAUGUGCUGCAGCGGCCAAUGACUAAAAUAACUCCUCAACCUCCAAACUGGGAUUUUUUUUUUUUUUUUUGGGCAAUGGCCUAAAAUAGUUUUGUUUCACUUGAAACGCUUUUAAUACUUCCUCCAGACGUGGACAAAACAGGAUGUCUGUGUCCCUAAAGGCCUUUACUUUGAAAAUGCCCUCUCGUGAAGGCAAUGGUGUGAGCUGAAUAAAGAGAAUAGAUCUUGUUCUACAGUGAAAAGUAUCGCCGCUACCGCGUUCUGGGAAACGUGCUUUUACUUUGGAAGGUGGAGGCGGAUGUGCUUCCCCGUCGCUUCCGUCCUCAGGUAAACGUUGAAGGGAGUGUUCGGCUCCCAGACUGGCGUCAAUGCAACUGAUUUCCUUUUUGCUGCUUCUUUUCAAAAACCAAGAUCUAUAUUUGAUUUCAACAACUUUUUAAGCCUUUGUUUCAAUGGUCACGAGGAUCAUCCUCACGGAGGAAGCAAGCUAAAGGUGAGCCUUUAUCCUUUGUGGCAUUAGCUACUAGCAUAGUCCAGCUGUUCCCAAAAGUCUAAAGCACCAUCAAUUCUGAAGUUUUCCAUGCUCAUAAUGUGAACCUAACUCCUGUGUCGCCAAGGAAUUCACCAGUAAUCGUGUAAGUUAAUGGUGGUUCGUUAAUUCAAGCGAGUGUGUUUUUUUCCCCAGGGGGUGAAAAGUGUUUUUUGGACACUGGAAGAGCCAAAAAACUCCGCCAACAACACAAACUCCGCUUUCAGGUGGUUUUUUUUUUGUGACGAGAUAAUGGUGAGUUCAGAAAACCACCUGUACAGCUGUAAAAGGGCGCCAGGUUCAGCCAGAGGCAGGUAGAGGAGACUCAGGUGUGUCCCUAACAAGUCUUGCAGCUUCACCUGAACACGCAUGUUUUUUACUGGCUGCUCAUCCGGUUGUCUGAGCAGCUGAAGACGCACAAGCUGAAUUCUACAACCAAGUCUU